GGGAUUUUGCGCAUGGGGGAACCCCUGNCGCANCAACGCCGCGUGGAGGAUGAAGUCCUUUGGGACGUAAACUCCUUUCGACCGGGACGAUUAUGACGGUACCGGUGGAAGAAGCCCCGGCUAACUUCGUGCCAGCAGCCGCGGUAAUACGAGGGGGGCGAGCGUUGUUCGGAAUUAUUGGGCGUAAAGGGCGCGUAGGCGGUGCGGUAAGUCACCUGUGAAAUCUCCGGGCUCAACUCGGAGCCUGCAGGCGAAACUGCCGUGCUGGAGUAUGGGAGAGGUGCGUGGAAUUCCCGGUGUAGCNGGUGAAAUGCGUAGAUAUCGGGAGGAACACCUGUGGCGAAAGCGGCGCACUGGACCAUAACUGACGCUGAGGCGCGAAAGCUAGGGGAGCAAACGGGAUUAGAUACCCUGGUAGUCCUAGCCCUAAACCAUGGAUGCUUGGUGUGGUGGGUACCCAAUCCCACUGUGCCGAAGCUAACGCGAUAAGCAUCCCGCCUGGGGAGUACGGUCGCAAGGCUGAAACUCAAAAAAAUUGACGGA
This 543-nucleotide ribosomal RNA is filed under the name uncultured bacterium. Its description in RNAcentral is "bacterial SSU rRNA". It matches the Rfam family "Bacterial small subunit ribosomal RNA", at positions 358 to 917 of the family's 1533-position model. The record is from RNAcentral.